Scatophagus argus is the source of this 715-nucleotide long non-coding RNA. RefSeq lists it as uncharacterized. The transcript is spliced from 3 exons. The record is from RefSeq and is a predicted model, not a curated record. NCBI's taxonomy places the organism in Eukaryota, Metazoa, Chordata, Actinopteri, Scatophagidae.
GCAAUCUCAAAGUCAAUGAUAUUGUCAUUAUUAAAGAUGACAACCUUCCAAGAAAUCAUUGGCAACUUGGACGAGUGGUGGAGACUGUUCAAGACAGCGAUGGCUUAGUCCGUCGAGUCAAAGUGCAAGUAGGAGAGCGAAAGCCUCAAAGAAAACAAGAUCCCCCCUCCAAACCUUCGGUUAUUGAGAGGCAAUCCAAAAAUUAGUGCUUCUUCUUGAGAAUUAAUUAGAACAGACUACAAUUGCUGUAUGCACACUACUUUAUUGUGUAUGAUGUAGUACAGUUCACCUGUAUACUUCUGAUAGUUCAACGUAAAGUUAUGCAUUUAUUAGAGUCAAGAAAUCCUGUACCAUUCAUUGCCCCCUUGUAUUGUUCAUUCAUUGUAACAGGAUUUGGUGGGAGUGUAAAUGGCAGCUAAUUUGUUUAUGGCAACCGAUACAGUUCUGUCACUUUAUUUUUUUUGUGCCUUUAUUUUGAAGAGCACCGCUCUUAUUCUGCUACUUCCUGCUGUUGCUGACGCUAAACUUUCUGCUCCCGCUUCAGCAUAACGACAUCUCGUCGCUUCGGAGUUGGACUUUCACCGCGAGUUGUGUGUGGAGGAUGGGCUGUUAGCACACUGAGCUUAAACUUAGCGCCCUUGGAAGCAGAAGGAGUUUUCACGGUGUCAGAAUGUCAGUGGAAACGGAGGAGAGAAAUAAAGUUGCACCAGUUUGA